RNAcentral lists this long non-coding RNA (2429 nucleotides) under Drosophila guanche. The record is from RNAcentral. Lineage: Eukaryota; Metazoa; Arthropoda; Insecta; Diptera; Drosophilidae.
GUCAAAAACAAUCAAAUUUAAGCAAAUAAUUCAAAAGACAAUGGGCAUUUACGUACAAUUAAUAGUUCGAAAUGGUGGAAAUUAUUCAAAGAACUUAUAAUUAAACAAUUUAUAAUGCUUUGUGUAAUGUGACAUUUAGAUUCUAUAAUUAAUUAUUUAAUGUUCGAUUGCCUACAAAUCGUAGCUUUAACUUGCUUUAAGAUACUUCCUAUAUGCCAGGACAAAUGUACCUGUCAAGAUGAAUAUGCAUACGUGGAAUACCCACACACACACAGCACCAGUAGCAUUAAGUAAAGUAAUUAUGAACACAUGGCUAAUGCAUCCUCCUAAUGAAACCAUAAAUAAUUUCACGCUUCCGUUACGUCUGUGGUUUAGCUGAAACCUCCUUAAAGUAUGUACUCGAUACGUUAUUCUUUGACACAAAGACGUAUGUGUUCCUACCGUUACUUGUGGUGAGUAAAAUUAUAAAUAGUUCUUAAGUUUCGUUGGUUAUUUCCGAAGAAUAAUAUGUGCAAACACAUAUCGCACGUGGACAUAUAUCUGACUUAACCGAGCCUGGGAACCAUGGCAUAUAAGUAGCCUCUUGAGCAACAAACUUCUAUUAGAGAGCUAUAUUUGAUAGCUCCAUAUUGGGCACAUCUUUAAGAUGUAUGAAAGAUAUUUCAACAAAUCACAAUAGCACAAAAUAUAAGUCUGUAAUAAUUACAUUUCUUGCCCAAUCCUUAUUUAUAUUCAUAAUUUGAUGCCCUCACAUGUUUUAGCCUUGUAAUUUCAUUACAUAUUUCAAGAAACACAUUUUGGCAACCACACUCUUGAGGCUUGGCACUGUCACAAUUUCUUAAAUAGUUUAUAAAAUACAUACAAUUAUUAUUGCUCAUCUGAUGUAGAGCCAACAAGAGAUGCAGCAUAACUGCUGGCAUAUCCCAAAAGGACCUGAUUCGAAUUUUAGAGGGAAAUUAGUGCGCAGGCGUUGGAGUCCGACUCUUGCUGUUACGAGCUACCGGAUUUUAAUUGUUGCAUUUGAGAACUAAUUUCAGAAAUAAUUGCAGCUCGGAAACAAUAAAUAUAAACUUUUGCGGAAUAGGCCAAGACUAGGAGCUACUUCGUAAUGCUCUAAAUUUGAAAAUGUACAUUUACAGAUAUUAUGUAGAUAUAAAUAUCAAAUUUAUAAUAAUUACCAUGGCAAAGAAUUGGCUCUAAGGCUAUGCCAACAAGCAUGCUCACAUCACAUUGUUCCAAUGAUUGAAGGAGCCUGAAAAGUUUUUAAUGAACGAAACAUUGUAAUGCCAAUUAGAGCUUCAGCCUUGCAGCUGCAACUUUCUACUGCUAAUGCUUCACAACUUAAUGUACAUAAAUCCUUAUCUGUUGUCGGCAGCCAAAAAUCUACAAAAAUGUCUAGCAUGUGUAGCACCUUUUCAAAUAAAGUCAUUUUUUGUAGAGGGUUUUAACAUGCACAGAGUUUUACUCAUUAUACUCUGUACUCAUACAACACACACAUAAAAUCAAAUAGACUACACAAAAUAAAUAAAGCAACAAAAUUAACAAAAACCAAGAAUGACUUCAAUAGUAGCGAAUCUUAUACCACCGGCGGGAAUUGGAGCAGCCGUACCCAUAUGGUUGAAAAUUGAUUGGAGUCCCGAAAUAGAGCAUGGCAUCUACAAGGACUGGGGCUCGUACUACUCGGGCCGGCGAAGGGAGAACAUGGCCAUGUACUACUACAACAAGGCACUCUCCAUGCUGCCCGAGGAUUAUGUGACCCUGUACCAUCGGAGCCAAACUAAGCGAAAAAAUGCCCAAACCGAAGGCGCUCUUAUGGAUUGUAACGAGGCAAAAAGUAUGUCCACACUCUGAGAAUGUUCUUUACUCUAUCUCUACUUUGUGGAUUUACAGGAAUCUUAAACGCACUUAAGAUCAAGAAUGCACCAAUUAAUUUGGAAAUAUGUGAUGCUCUCUAUGAACUGAAUCAGCUGGAGAUUGCCAAGGCGGAACUACACGAUAAUACGCGGCUGUUCAAGGGAAACAAAACAAAGUCAUUUGAGAAACGUCUCGUUGUGGUUGACGAGAACAUUAAAAACUGUUGUGGCGAAGAGCUAAGACAGUUCAUAGCUGCGAAUGAGAAGUUGUUAAUCCAUGUUAAACAACAGGACCUCAAGGCACGCAGUCAAGAUAAAAACAAGCCACUGUGGAAAUUGUUAAAGGAACAAAAUAAAUGUGAUGUUUUAAGUAUCCCAGAAAUCGAAGUAUGUAUAAAGCUUAACAUUUUUUUUGGUUGGUUCCUUUAACAACACUUUUUCUACACUUUUGCAAGGACGAGUUACUGUCGCCACUUGAAAUCGCAAGGCGACAUCGAGCAUUUGAUGUAUUUAAUCAAAUUUACAUGGACAAGUCAUGGAUCGAUGUGAUUUUCUUGAAAAAAUUGCUAAAGUAAU